GUGCUCGGUUCAGCAGCACAUAUACUAAAAUUGGAACAACACAGAGAUUAGCAUGGCCCCUGCACAAAAAUGAUACACAAACUCGUGAAACAUUCCAUAUUAAA
Ochotona curzoniae (black-lipped pika) is the source of this 104-nucleotide small nuclear RNA. The record is from RefSeq and is a predicted model, not a curated record. Lineage: Eukaryota; Metazoa; Chordata; Mammalia; Lagomorpha; Ochotonidae.